This 694-nucleotide ribosomal RNA is filed under the name uncultured bacterium. RNAcentral describes it as "bacterial SSU rRNA". It matches the Rfam family "Bacterial small subunit ribosomal RNA", at positions 32 to 715 of the family's 1533-position model. The record is from RNAcentral.
AACGCUAGCUACAGGCUUAACACAUGCAAGUCGAGGGGUACCAUGGUCAAAGCUUGCUUUGACUGAUGACGACCGGCGGAUGGGUGAGUAACACGUAUCCAACCUACCGUAUACACGGGGAUAGCCUUUCGAAAGAAAGAUUAAUACCCGAUGGUGUAAAGAGAUCCCCUGAUUUUUUUACUAAAGAUUUAUCGGUAUACGAUGGGGAUGCGUUCCAUUAGAUAGUCGGUGUGGUAACGGCUCACCGAGUCUAUGAUGGAUAGGGGUUCUGAGAGGAAGGUCCCCCACAUUGGAACUGCGACACGGUCCAAACUCCUACGGGAGGCAGCAGUGAGGAAUAUUGGUCAAUGGGCGAAAGCCUGAACCAGCUAUGUAGCGUGAAGGAUGACUGCCCUAUGGGUUGUAAACUUCUUUUGUUCGGGAAUAACAGACUUCACUUGUGGAGUUUUGCAUGUACCGUUCGAAUAAGGAUCGGCUAACUCCGUGCCAGCAGCCGCGGUAAUACGGAGGAUCCUAGCGUUAUUCGGAUUUAUUGGGUUUAAAGGGAGCGUAGGCGGGGGGUCAAGUCAGCUGUGAAAUACGUACGCUUAACGUUCGUCUUGCAGUUGAAACUGGUUUUCUUGAGUGCGUAUGAGGCAGGCGGAAUUCGUGGUGUAGCGGUGAAAUGCUUAGAUAUCACGAAGAACUCCGAUUG